Molecule: long non-coding RNA, 273 nt
Filed under: Vulpes vulpes (red fox)
Lineage: Eukaryota; Metazoa; Chordata; Mammalia; Carnivora; Canidae
Description: lncRNA (ENSVVUG00000010639.1)
Source: RNAcentral
CUUGGGGCCACUACAGAUAACACCAUUUUGAAAGAAGCUGGAUUCCUCCUAUCAUGUAUUCCCUUUCUCUGAAGAUUUCAGUGAGGACCAGAUUAUUAAUUUCUCCAGGAAAAAAACUGCUAUGACUAAUAUUCAGCAUAAAGUCUGGAUAAUGCAGCUUUUAAUCAUCUGAGGGCCACUACUUAAGUUGUUCUUCCGAAAACAGGAAAGACCAUCCAGUGGUAAUUUGCCUUUUACACUUACAUAUCUAAGACCAUCAGAUCAAUUUUUGUC